GAUGCCCUUUGUCAUGCGGAUGAACUCCUCGGGUGUGGUGGACUUGUCUGGGAUGUCCUUGGACUGGAACACCUGACAUGAUGGAGACCCACAGACACAGACACUGAUAAGAGCUGUGAGAAACCUGCAGGGGCUGAGAGGGAAGGAGGAGGAAAGGAGCUGGACAGAUAAUAAAGGAAAAAGAACAAAAAGCUCCCCUGUUAUGUUCAGAAUAAUAGACAUAGAUAUCCCUGACCCUGUUUUCAGAGAGGCUGUGUCUUAUCAGUUGACUCUCAAAAGACCGUAAAGAAGAGCUUCGGCCUGUGAGGCGCUCUUACUGUCAGCUCCUGCUUGAUGCACUCAAUGGUGGCCUCCAGUGCCCUGGUCCCGCGAGUCGCUUCAUCUUCCACUGCCUUCACUGUUUUUAGAAGAGACGUCACGUUGGUCACCAUGACCUGUCAAAUGAAGGGAGACGUGAUGAGGCUCACAGUCAGACCAGGAGGUGGAGCUCUUUCUCCUCAGCUGCAAAACAUUACAUUGCCAAAUUCCUUUGGCCUCCUCCUUCACUGAUUCUAUUAAAGUGAGUAAUGGUUCCAUGUGUUAAAGGUGCUUUUCUAAUGAAAAUGAAAGAUAAGCUGCUGAAGAAAGAGAAGACUGAGGGAUGUAUUUCAAAUUAAAUCAGGAUGAUUUACUACUUGUAAUACAGUUAAUUCACUGACACCUAGAACAAUUCAAGUUUUAUUCAUGGUGAUACAUUUUGUUUUGCCAGUACUGCAUUCAGCACAGUGUACAUUAUUAGGUUAGGAAUUCAAGCAACAUGAUCGCUAGGAGUUUGAGAGGGUCCCAUUUGGAGGUCACCAUAUGUUGGAGGAACAGAGACAAUCUGUCAGCAUAACCAGGUCCAUGGGUGGCCCUAAUUCCAUUUAGAUGAGAAAACAUAAGAAACCCCACGCAACAGUUAGAGUUACAUGCUGCGCUCGGGAUGAUCGUUGUGAGAACAAUACAUAAAUAAUAUGAGGAGGAAGACUAGCAAAUCUUUGGUUCAGAGGUAUCUGAGGCUCGGUCACUGAUUCAAUACUUUGAUCUUUAUUUCUCUAUUCAAGUGAUCACAACUGCACCAUGAUUAGAUGCAUAAGGUCUGAUCUCCAGUUUUUAUUCUUCAGCAGUUGGCAGGUGUGACAGUGGUCAUGACAAUCAAGAGUUAAAUAAAAACUCUCUCCCUUCUUGUGUAUGUACAGUCCAGAUUCUCCCAGCCCUCGGUGGGAGAAAACAUAUUUUCUCUGAUCAAAAAAAUAUUAACUCUUAAAACUUUAACUUGAAAUGUACUUUAUAUUAUACUGCAUUUGCUUUAUAUUACACAUUUUGUGUACUUCAUAUUAUAACUUUAGUUUUGUUCUUCUUCUUUUUUUCAUAUUGUAACUUUGUUUUUCCAUAUUGUAAUUCUACUACUGCUGUUUCCAUCUACUCUGUACAUAGCCCACCUAUGCUGCUUUUUUAAAGGUUUUGUCCAUUUGUUCACCUUUAAAGUAUUUUAUGUGGGGUCUAAUAAUAGAAGAUGUCUUGUACAGAUUGUAAAGCACUCUGAGACUCUGUUUUUCAGCUUGGUAAAUAAAACUGACUUGACAUGA
Long non-coding RNA from Perca fluviatilis (European perch), 1607 nucleotides. RefSeq lists it as uncharacterized. The transcript has 2 exons. The record is from RefSeq and is a predicted model, not a curated record. NCBI's taxonomy places the organism in Eukaryota, Metazoa, Chordata, Actinopteri, Perciformes, Percidae.